CAGUAUUUACCGCAUGGUAGAAAUUUUGAAAGGAGCAAUUGCUUUCACUAUGAGACGGACCUGCGUUGUAUUAGCUAGUUUGGUGAGGUAACGGCUUCACCAAGGCUUCGAUACAUAGCCGACCUGAGAGGGUGAUCGGCCACACUGGGACUGAGACACGGCCCAGACUCCUACGGGAGGCAGCAGUAGGGAAUCUUCGGCAAUGGGGGCAACCCUGACCGAGCAACGCCGCGUGAGUGAAGAAGGUUUUCGGAUCGUAAAGCUCUGUUGUAAGAGAAGAACUGUGAGAAGAGUGGAAAGUUUCUCACUUGACGGUAUCUUAC
This 323-nucleotide ribosomal RNA is filed under the name Streptococcus suis. RNAcentral's name for it is "bacterial SSU rRNA". It matches the Rfam family "Bacterial small subunit ribosomal RNA", at positions 173 to 483 of the family's 1533-position model. The record is from RNAcentral. Lineage: Bacteria; Bacillati; Bacillota; Bacilli; Lactobacillales; Streptococcaceae.